Long non-coding RNA from Magnolia sinica, 1280 nucleotides. RefSeq lists it as uncharacterized. Lineage: Eukaryota; Viridiplantae; Streptophyta; Magnoliopsida; Magnoliales; Magnoliaceae. The transcript is spliced from 3 exons. The record is from RefSeq and is a predicted model, not a curated record.
UCUAACUUAAUCAUACUUUUUUGUGCUAACCUCACCUGGUGGGACCCAUGAUUUAGAUAGUCUGGAUUGACAAGCAUGCAUACAUGAUCCAUGUUGGAUUUUGCAUGAGUAUGAUCCACUACACUAUUACCAAAAUAUAAAAACACAAAAUAGAAAACAUAGUGCCUGUUUGGAUGCCACUUAAAAAUGAGCCAAUCUUAUUGAAGUUAAUCUUAUAUGUACACAUUAAAAGUAAUUUUGAUAACAAACAAUCAUGAUUUCUAAUGCAUAAUUAUGAUUGAGGGUGUGUUUAGUUGCACCAAAUAUCAGGAAUUUUCAAAUGUACACUCAAAUGAGUACUCAUUUUUAAGUGGGCAACCAAACAGGAUCUUCUCAUUUGGAGAGUAGAAAUGGUACCUUUAGACUCGAUUGCUACCAUUAUAUUUGUCAUCUCCCUAUCUACCUUACUUGGUUGCAACUACAAACUGGGUACUUCGCGAGCUUGCAUCUUGUCUCCCUCAAGUGAGUCUCUCUAACAUAAUUUCUAUUUAUAUUCAUUUGUUCCACAGUCAGUCUUUUGGGUGAUAUUCACUGGCAUGCAUAUGCAUAGUCAAACAAUCACUUGGCCCUAGAAAGCUUUCAAAACUCUUUCAACAGUCCCUAUCACCCAUCCCUUUUUAUCCACAUCAAAUAUCCUCAAAUAUUGUGUGAUGAAAUCUGUUAUAGAUAUAUGAUCUUUUGCUAAUUUUGAAAUAAAGAUAAAUUAGUAGAUCAGUUCCACUUUUAUGCAAAUGAGCUUAAUUAUGAUGUAUUCAUAGCUUUCAAAUCAGAACAUGAGCUCACUCUACAUGUCAUUAGAUAAAGGAUCAUAUAACUCCUCUUGGUUUGUUUUCAAUCUCAUAAACGAUUACUGAUUUUUCAAGCUUCUUCCAGCUUACAGAGUCGUUAGGUGCCUUCUAAUUAGUAACAGAUUGUGCAAUUUCUCAUCUGUUAGCAUUGAUUGUUUGAAUAUCUUGCUUUCAUAUCAAGAUUUCUCAAUUUUUUGUUCCCUCUUUUUCUUUUCUUUUUUUCUUUGUGAUUUUCACUGUUUAUAAGGAUACUAAUUCAUAUACAAAAGAAGGAGAAGAAGAAGAAUAAAGAAGUCGCUCAGGAAGGAAGAAGUGCAGCCACUUCAGCUGCUUACAGAACAUUGGCAUAGGAGCUCACUGAACAGCGGUUUCCUGCUCCCCGUAUCCUGGCGUUCAAAGACAUGCCUCAACAAUUGAAAGUGAGGCUUCUAGAAGAGUUGGGAGAGCAUGAUA